UGUGUAGGCGGUAUAUUAAGUCUGUUGUUAAAUGCUUCGGCCUAACCGAAGACCUGCGGCGGAAACUGAUAUGCUAGAGGUUGGAAGAGAGAAGUGGAAUUCUCGGAGUAGCGGUAAAAUGCGUAGAUCUCGAGAGGAACACCAAUGGCGAAGGCAGCUUCUUGGUCCAUACCUGACGCUGAAACACGAAAGCGUGGGGAGCAAACAGGAUUAGAUACCCUGGUAGUCCACGCUGUAAACGAUGAUCACUGGACGUCAGUUUUGUUUUACAGAAUUGGUGUCGUAGCUAACGCGCUAAGUGAUCCGCCUGGGGACUACGGUCGCAAGAUUAAA
RNAcentral lists this ribosomal RNA (333 nucleotides) under uncultured bacterium. RNAcentral describes it as "bacterial SSU rRNA". It matches the Rfam family "Bacterial small subunit ribosomal RNA", at positions 568 to 898 of the family's 1533-position model. The record is from RNAcentral.